This 1992-nucleotide ribosomal RNA is filed under the name fermentation metagenome. RNAcentral describes it as "bacterial LSU rRNA". It matches the Rfam family "Bacterial large subunit ribosomal RNA", at positions 1 to 1978 of the family's 2925-position model. The record is from RNAcentral.
UCAAGCGAAAAAUAGGUCCAUGGUGAAUGCCUGUGGAGCUGCAAGGCGAAGAAGGCCGUGAUAAGCUGCGAAAAGCCGCGGGGAGAAGCACAUAUUUGUUGAUCCGCGGACUGCCGAAUGGGGUAACCCGUCAGGAGCGAUUCUGACACCGCAACGUCUGAAUAAAAUAGGGCGGCGGAGCGAAACUGUGUGAAGUGAACCAUCUAAGUAACACGGGAGAAGAAAUCAAAAGAGAUUCCGUAAGUAGCGGCGAGCGAACGCGGAAGAGCCCAAACCACACAAGUGGGGUUGAAGGGCCGCAUGGGGAUGACCCGGAAAGUUAGAGAAAACCGAUUUAUAGCGGAAUGAUUCAGGAAAGGUCAGCGGGACAGCGUGAAAGCCGCGUACGCGAAAUGAAUCGGACUUUCUGAUGCGGUACCUGAGUACGGCGGGACACGAGAAACCCUGUCGGAAACUGGGUCGACCACGAUCCAAGGCUAAAUACUCGGCAGCUACCGAUAGUGCACAAGUACCGUGAGGGAAAGGUGAAAAGAACCCCGGCAAGGGGAGUGAAAUAGAACCUGAAACCAUGGACUGGCAAGAUGUCGCAGCGCGCAAGCGUGGCGGCGUGUCUUUUGUAGAAUAAACCUGCGAGUUGUCUUAUGCAGCGAGGCUAAGGGAUAGAAGUUCCGGAGCCGGAGCGAAAGCGAGUCUGAAAAGGGCGUUUUAGUUGCAUGAGGCAGACCCGAAGCCAAGGUGAUCUAAUCAUGGGCAGGUUGAAGCCAGGGUAAAACCUGGUGGAGGACCGAACAGUAAUCUGUUAAAAAAGGUAGUGAUGACCUGUGAUUAGGAGUGAAAGGCUAAACAAACCUGGAAAUAGCUGGCUCUCCCCGAAAUGCCUUUAGGGACAGCCUCAUACAAAGCCGGCGGAGGUAAAGCACUGGAUGGGCUAGGGGGCGUCAAAGUCUACCGAAACCAAUCAAACUCUGAAUGCCGCCGACCAGCGUAUGGGAGUGAGACCGUGUGCUCCAAGGUUCAUGGUCAAAAGGGAAACAGCCCAAACCGGCAACUAAGGUCCCGAAAUAACGCUAAGUGUGAAAUGAAGUGCGAAUGCACAGACAGCCAGGAGGUUGGCUCAGAAGCAGCCAUUCCUUAAAAGAGUGCGUAACAGCUCACUGGUCGAGCAUGCGUGCGCAGACAAUGUAACGGGGCUAAGCGUUAUACCGAAGUUCCGGACUCAUGCAGCAAUGCGUGAUUGGUAGGGGAGCAUUCCAUAGACUGAAGAAGGAAUACCUGUGAGGGGUUCUGGAGGAGAUGGAAGAGAGAAUGCAGGCACAAGUAACGAAAAGACGGGUGAGAUUCCCGUCCGCCGAAAACCUAAGGUUUCCUGGGUAAAGGCAAUCUGCCCAGGGUAAGUCGGCCCCUAAGACGAGGGAGAAAUCCGUAGCCGAUGGGAAAUUGGUUUAUACUCCAAUACCUUCAUCAGUUUUUACGACAGGACGCAUGAGGUGAAAUCCGGCCGGAGAAUGGUAGUUCCGGUCAAAGCAUUAACCUGAUGAGGGAGGCGGUAAACACACCUCCUGAGGGAAGAUGUGACAGCGAGCAGAGAGAAAGUCGAAGCGAAGCGGACGUAAUCAUGGUGCCGGGAAAAACUGUCUAAAGCUAGGCUGGUGGAGACCGUACCGGAAACCGACACAGGUAGGAAGGAUGAGUAAUCUAAGGCGCACGAGUGACCUCGCGUUAAGGAACUCGGCAAAAUGCACACGUAACUUCGGAAGAAGUGUGGCUCACAUUGUCAAAGAUAGUGAGCGGCAGAAAGCAGGCCCAGGCGACUGUUUACCAAAAACACAGCCAUCUGCGAACCAGCAAUGGGACGUAUAGGUGGUGACACCUGCCCGGUACUGGAAGGUUAAGAGGAGCGGUGAGAAGCAAUUCAAAGCUGCGAAUCGAAGCCCCAGCAAACGGCGGCCGUAACUAUAACGGUCCUAAGGUAGCGAAAUUCCUUGUCGGGUA